Molecule: ribosomal RNA, 813 nt
Filed under: Plectosphaerella cucumerina
Lineage: Eukaryota; Fungi; Ascomycota; Sordariomycetes; Glomerellales; Plectosphaerellaceae
Description: partial large subunit ribosomal RNA
Rfam family: Eukaryotic large subunit ribosomal RNA
Source: RNAcentral
CUCAGUAACGGCGAGUGAAGCGGCAACAGCUCAAAUUUGAAAUCUGGCUCCUUCGGGGUCCGAGUUGUAAUUUGCAGAGGAUGCGUCGGGUACGGGUCCCUACCGAGUUCCCUGGAACGGGACGCCAUAGAGGGUGAGAGCCCCGUCUGGUAGGAUACCCAGCCCAUGUGACGCUCCCUCGACGAGUCGAGUAGUUUGGGAAUGCUGCUCUAACGGGAGGUAUACUCCUUCCAAAGCUAAAUACCGGCUGGAGACCGAUAGCGCACAAGUAGAGUGAUCGAAAGAUGAAAAGCACUUUGAAAAGAGAGUCAAACAGCACGUGAAAUUGUUAAAAGGGAAGCACUCGCUACCAGACUUGGGUUUGGCGGUUCAACCGGGGCCACGCCCCGGGGCAUUCCGCCAGCUCAGGCCAGCAUCAGCUUUCCGUCGGGGGCAAAGACGUCGGGAAUGUGGCUCCCCCUCGGGGGAGUGUUAUAGCCCGGCGUGUCAUACCCUUCGGGGGGCUGAGGUACGCGCUUCUGCAAGGAUGCUGGCGUAAUGGUAGCUAGUGACCCGUCUUGAAACACGGACCAAGGAGUCAACCUUAUGUGCGAGUGCCCGGGCGUAAAACCCCAGCGCGGAAUGAAAGUGAACGUAGGUGAGAGCUUCGGCGCAUCACCGACCGAUCCUGAUGUCCUCGGACGGAUUUGAGUGAGAGCAUAUAGGGUUGGACCCGAAAGAAGAUGAACUAUGCGUGUGUAGGGUGAAGCCAGAGGAAACUCUGGUGGAGGCUCGCAGCGGUUCUGACGUGCAAAUCGAUCGUCAAACAUGCGC